Molecule: long non-coding RNA, 496 nt
Organism: Oreochromis aureus
Lineage: Eukaryota; Metazoa; Chordata; Actinopteri; Cichliformes; Cichlidae
Source: Ensembl
CAACCCUCUGAAAACUGCAAUUGAUGCAAUUGAUCUCUCAGCCCUCACUGUACAGGAUCAGGACAGGUAUUUUGCGAAAAUUGGUGAUUUGUCAUGACCUCAGUUGGUAAAAGUGGUCUUCUACUUUGCAAGUAACUCUCCAGAGUCCCUGUCUCUCUGUUUGAAGAAACCUACCUGCAGCCAUCUCUGGAGUUAUACAGCCACAGCUGGACCAGCACUGCCACACCUUCCAUGUGUGACGCUCUCUUUGGAAACACAGACUUAGCUGGAACCCACCUGCCUGCCUGCUGAUUCUCCUUAGAGUCACCUUCUCUCUGUCUCUGAGCCUAGCCUGCCCACCAUCAACCCCCUCUCUCAGUUCAACGUCCUGCCUGGACAAUUAAGAUUACAGAGACUGUGACAACGUUCAUCAUAAACAUCCUUUAGCACUGGCUGCCAUUAACUGUCUCCCUCCCUUUCUGCACAUCCUCCAUGGGCCCUACUAUUGCUGCCACUC